CGACUUACAUUCAGUGGCAAGCUUAACCGAAUAGGGAAGGCGUAGGGAAACCGAGUCCGAACAGGGCGAUUUAGUCGCUGGGUGUAGACCCGAAACCAAGUGAUCUAUCCAUGGCCAGGAUGAAGGUGCCGUAACAGGUACUGGAGGUCCGAACGACUAGUGUUGCAAAACUAGCGGAUGAGCUGUGGAUAGGGGUGAAAGGCUAAACAAACUUGGAAAUAGCUGGUUCUCUCCGAAAACUAUUUAGGUAGUGCCUCAAGUAUUACCGUCGGGGGUAGAGCACUGUUUUGGCUAGGGGGUCAUGGCGACUUACCAAACCAAUGCAAACUCCGAAUACCGACGAGUACAGCUUGGGAGACAGAGCACCGGGUGCUAACGUCCGGACUCAAGAGGGAAACAACCCAGACCGCCAGCUAAGGUCCCUAAAAUUGGCUAAGUGGGAAACGAAGUGGGAAGGCUAAAACAGUCAGGAUGUUGGCUUAGAAGCAGCCAUCAUUUAAAGAAAGCGUAAUAGCUCACUGAUCGAGUCGUCCUGCGCGGAAGAUGUAACG
Molecule: ribosomal RNA, 551 nt
Filed under: uncultured bacterium
Lineage: Bacteria
Description: bacterial LSU rRNA
Rfam family: Bacterial large subunit ribosomal RNA
Source: RNAcentral